Molecule: long non-coding RNA, 829 nt
Filed under: Monodelphis domestica (gray short-tailed opossum)
Lineage: Eukaryota; Metazoa; Chordata; Mammalia; Didelphimorphia; Didelphidae
Description: lncRNA (ENSMODG00000032530.2)
Source: RNAcentral
AUUUUAAAUAGUCUCUAUUCUUUUUUUAAACCUUUACCUUCUAUCUUAAAAUUAAUGUUAGUAUUACAUGUUACAUAAGGUACGCACAUAAUACACAUAUUACGCAUUACACAUUACAAGGCAGAAGAUCUAGACAAUUGAGGUUAAGUGACUUGCCCUGAGUCACAUAACUAGAAAGUGUCUAAGGCCAGAAUUGGACCCAGAACCUACCAUCAGUAUGCCUGGAUUUCAUUGAGCCACCUAGCUUUCCCCUUUGGUCCAUUUUUUCCAUGAAUGCUAGUAAUCUGGUAUAGUGUAUGGAUCCUUACUGUGAAUUUUAAAAGUCUCCAUCUUGGUCUAGCACCCAAAAAUUGUGCACACCCACACUACACGGGCAUGUGCUAGUCAAUGACAAAUCAGAAAUAACUAACUGCCCACCUGGGCUGUCCUAAGCCAAGCUAGAGCCAACCAUUGGCACUUGUGAGACACAGGAAGUGAGGUAGGGAACAGCCUCUGGAAUUUGCUCACUUCCUGUGGAGAGAGUUGGUGUUAGGAGCUUGGACAGGGAGGACCCCCCGCAGACAGCUUUCCUUCAGAUCACUCACGUCAUGAACUCCCUGAAAAUCUAUCCAUGGAUCCCCUAGGCAUUAGGGUUCAUGGAUCACAGACUCUUCAUGACCCCAGAUGGAGUUUUUCCUGGCAGACACUUUUUCCUUUUCCAGUUCAUUUUAUAGAUGAGGAAACUGAGGCAAAGAAGUGACUUGCCCAGGGUCAUGCAGCUAGUAAAUGCCAAAUUUGAAUUUGGGAAGAUAAGUCUUCUUGACUCCAGGCUUAGCUUUCUAUCCACUGG